Ostrea edulis (European flat oyster) is the source of this 1125-nucleotide long non-coding RNA. RefSeq lists it as uncharacterized. The record is from RefSeq and is a predicted model, not a curated record. The transcript is spliced from 2 exons. Lineage: Eukaryota; Metazoa; Mollusca; Bivalvia; Ostreida; Ostreidae.
UUUUCUUGCUAUAAUUUCUCUGAAAUAAGUAAAUUCCCUGUCUAUCUCAUCCUUCUUUCGAUUCAAGUAAUCCUUUCACGCUUUUUGUAAGCUUCUACUGGUAUGAUUUAAUUUAUUUAUUGAUCCACAAACAUGUUGGCAUACAAUUAUGUUACACAAUGAUGAGAUAUGUAUAAUGAUGACAAACUAAAUACUAACAGUUCAUAUGCAUAUUUGUAAAGACGUUUAUAUAUAUUUGGCAUGUACAUAUGACGUCAAACUGUUUAUAUAAUUUAGUAUUGCAUGUAUAACAUUAGCAACCAAUAAUUUAUUACAAAAUUUGUGCUCAUUUUUUUAUUCCCGGACAAGGCCAAUCUCUAAAGCUUACAAAAAGUGUGAAACGAUUACAGUACUGUAAAAAUCGAAAAAGAAAUGAGUUAGACCGGUAAUCAACACAUUUCAGAUUUAUCGCUGCAAAAAAUAUUUUUCAAAAAUGGGGGUUGGGGGCGCUAUUAUCAGUGUAUCAGGUAUCUGUGGUAAUAUCUUGUACAAAUGCACGUGUAACUACAUUAAUUUUGAUGCUCUAGGUUUACAGUCACAUUUAAUUUUAUCAAGUGACAUACUAGAAAAAAAAUAAACUUGGGAUAUUUUCACUUACAUUACAGUUUGAAUAAAUGGAAGAAAAAUAAAAGACCCUGAAUGCAUACUGAUUGCCCACAUUUUUUAUGUGUAUUUGAGACCCUUCUUUAAUACAUUGAAUGUUUGCGGCAUACGUAUUUAUAAAAUGAGAUAAUGCUAUUUAAAGAUGUGCAUGAUACCAACAAGAAUGUGAACUUUUCAAAGAGCAUGAUAUUUCCAAUUUUCCACAUCUCUAGACCAGUGACCACAAAUGUACAUACAAGUACCCACAGAUGACAGCCGUAUUGACUCCAGUAGAUAAUAUUCAUCUCCAUCAGCUGGUCACUACGCUGUACAUAGUGGUCAAACCAGGAUAUCCACUGAUUGCAUUCAGUGAUGUGAAUUGUCAUCUAGAUUUGUGCUUAUGAACUUUAGUAAACUGUCAAGUUUUAAUAUGAAGAAAAUGACUGCUGAAAAAGCAUCUAAUCUUGUGUUCUAUGAAUGUUUUCAAUUAAACACAAAACAAAA